This 497-nucleotide ribosomal RNA is filed under the name uncultured bacterium. RNAcentral's name for it is "partial 16S ribosomal RNA". It matches the Rfam family "Bacterial small subunit ribosomal RNA", at positions 28 to 507 of the family's 1533-position model. The record is from RNAcentral.
GAUGAACGCUGGCGGCGUGCCUAAUACAUGCAAGUCGAGCGAACAGACGAGGAGCUUGCUCCUCUGACGUUAGCGGCGGACGGGUGAGUAACACGUGGAUAACCUACCUAUAAGACUGGGAUAACUUCGGGAAACCGGAGCUAAUACCGGAUAACAUGUUGAACCGCAUGGUUCAACAGUGAAAGACGGUUUUGCUGUCACUCAUAGAUGGAUCCGCGUCGCAUUAGCUAGUUGGUAAGGUAACGGCUUACCAAGGCAACGAUGCGUAGCCGACCUGAGAGGGUGAUCGGCCACACUGGAACUGAGACACGGUCCAGACUCCUACGGGAGGCAGCAGUAGGGAAUCUUCCGCAAUGGGCGAAAGCCUGACGGAGCAACGCCGCGUGAGUGAAGAAGGUCUUCGGAUCGUAAAACUCUGUUAUUAGGGAAGAACAAAUGUGUAAGUAACUAUGCACGUCUUGACGGUACCUAAUCAGAAAGCCACGGCUAACUACGUG